Molecule: long non-coding RNA, 32883 nt
Filed under: Medicago truncatula (barrel medic)
Lineage: Eukaryota; Viridiplantae; Streptophyta; Magnoliopsida; Fabales; Fabaceae
Description: long non-coding RNA (MTRU_LNC002289)
Rfam family: MIR2680 microRNA precursor family (bases 10912-11079)
Source: RNAcentral
GGACAAUGGAAUCUUAUUCUAGCUCAUAUUCUUCAUCUAAAUCUUCAUACAUAUCCCAAAACACGAAGAAAGCAAAUGGAUCAAUGAAAAAUGAAUACCCUUUUGAAUCCAAAUAUUCUUGGCUUCACUCAGUAAGAAAGUCACCAACAAAGACAUGGAAUAAGAAGGCACCAAUAGCACCAAUGGCACCAACACCUGCCAAAGUAUACAAAGUGGAUCCAAUAAACUUCAAAGAACUUGUUCAGUCCCUCACUUGUGCACCUCAGUUCAUACCUUCACAGCCUCAUCACAAACUUGAUCUUCAAAGCACCACAAACCAUACCAUUGCCAAUGACAGUGUUCCACCUUCCCUUCCAAUGAAAAACUUCACAAACAAAGACAGUGUUGAAGUGUCCCCUCCAUUAGAGCCAGUGAGUACUACUAAUAGCUGGUAUCAGUACUUUCAAGCUGAAUAUUUUGGAAAGAAUAAUGAUCAGGAAGAGGAGGUAAUAACCCCUAGUUUGUUGGAAUUGAAUUUGCUCUCACCAACUUCUUUUGGUAACUGGUGUUUUGUUCCUCCCAUCAUCACCCCAAGAGUUUGAUUUGUUUGGAGGCUGUUCUUUUAGCCAGGCCUUUUAGAAUAGUUUCAUUUUUUUUUCUUUCUUUAAUUAUUUCUGUGUUACUGAAGUUUGAAGUGUGAAGAUAUAUAUAACGGUUUUUCCAUCCCAGCAGAUCAAUAUUCCAUUUGAAUCAUAGGCAUCGAUUAGAAUUUUAAGCUGCUGCAUGUGUAAACUACUAAACCGUUCUUGGAUAUGCUGUCUAUAUUCUAUACAUGUAAUUUUAUUUACGUGGACUACUCCAUUCAGUUAUUAAUUACAGUAGUAACAUUCAAAUUUAAUUUAACUUUUAUUUUGAUUUCAUCAAAUGCCAUAAAGACUAUAAAAACUCUUUAAUUGAUAUUCAAUUUUUUUUUUUUUUUUUUUUUUUACAAAUGAUAUUCAACAUGUUAUCUUCAACUUAUUUUCAUGAGAUACUCGUUUAAUAUUUCUUUAUUGAUAAAUUAAAUUUAAGGUGAGGGGAUGUCAAUCCAAGGUAGAAAAGACCAACGGGCUCAUAGAACGCUUACAAAUUCAUUUAUAUUUAAAUAUCCUCCUAAAUUAUAUUUAUUAGUUUGUUUCUAGAAUAAGUGACACAAAUCAGAAAUUGAUUUGUUCUUAUUAAAUGUAAUUAUUUUGAUAUUAUUGUGAUUUUCCUCCUAAAUGUAAUUAGUUUGUUCUUAUCCCAUACACAGCUUUGCUCAUAAUUUAAAUGUGACCAUUCACUAGUGAAUGGUGAGAUUUUACCCUUUAGAUUAGUCAGAUAUUGGAUCAGAUACCGAAUUUUCAUAAGAGUAACAAUUAUUUGCUCUAAUUACUUGUAUAGAUUGUAACCUCUAUAUAUAUAUACAAUCCUUCAAAAAAUAGUAUAUAUAUAUACAAGGAAAAACAACAAGGAACACAUCAAGCCAUUUUAACUGACAUGGUAUCAGAAGGUUCUUUACAAUAUAGAGAAUAAUAGAGAAUAUAAUGAAAUGUUUUUGAAUUAUUCUGAUAAGUUUUAUUAGCCUCUCUAUUUAUAGUUAGAGAUGACCGAAUACAUUAAAGAGCAAUUAUAUUCUUCAUCUAUACAUGUACUGUACAUAAGACAAUGAAUAAAAUGUACAUCAAUGUAAAUAACUAUAGUCAAACACAAAACUGAAAUCUUCAAUAAUUAUAAUCAAUUGUAGUUAUGUGCAUGUUCUCAUGGUUGACUCCAUGAUGAUUACGUAAUUACUCAAUACGCCCCCUCAAGAUGUAGUUGCCAUCAGUAACUUGCAUCUUGGACCGAAGUUCAUUGAAUGUAGCAUGAGACAAAGGCUUGGUAAGGAGGUCAGCUAUCUGAUCCUUUGUCGAGACAUGUGAGACUUGAAGCUUACCGUCUCGAACCUGCUCACGAACAAAGUGAUAAUCCAUGGCUAUAUGUUUCAUUUUUGAAUGUAGAACUGGGUUUGAGCAGAGACAUGUAGCACCUACAUUGUCACAUAAUAAUAGAGGUGGUUUCGACAAUGGUAUAUGAAGCUCUUGAAGCAAAUUUUGAAGCCACGUGAGUUCAGCAGAUGCAGUGGCUACAGCACGGUAUUCAGCCUCGGUUGAUGAUCGUGCUACAGUACGUUUGUUAUCAUGGUUUUUGGGUGCCAAGCCAUUAAUUGGACUUGUACCUUUCGACCGUUGAUAUCUCUCUUUUUUCUUGGGAAGGGAAAAAUUGAGAAAAAACCCUUAGAUUCUAAGUUCGGGGGUCGGUUUUACUACGGGAAGGUGUUAGGCACCCGGAGUAACUAUAGUCCUCUAUAGGAGCCGUUUUCCUAAGUUGAUUUCUACGCUUAUUUUUACUUACUUUUGAAAAUGGGAGAUUUAUUUAGUUAAGAAUGAGGGGAGAGAAGUUGUAAGACUUUUUAUCUUUUAGUUGAUUUGAAGAAAAUUUUAAUGUGUUGCUAUUUGAUUUUUAAAGUUUGAAAAUGAUUUUUUGAAGAAGAGAAAGGAGGCCUUAAAGGCUUGAGAAGUAAAAAUGUGAAGUUUGCCCAAUUUUACUUAAUAAAAUAGUCUAAGUCACUUAAGGUUCAUUUAGAAUUUUCUUAAGAAAGUAAAAGGAAACAUCAAAGGAGUGUUGACUCCAAAGUUCAUUUUUAAAAAAAAAGCUAGAAUUAUGGAACUUGGUUUGCUUUAUGAAAAAAAAUAUUUUCUAAGUACUCGCGUUCCCUAAUCAUACAUCUAAACGAAUGUCAUACACCGUGUGUGAGUGUCGGUGCUCGUGUCGGUGUACAUCAAUAGAGUCCAUAGUCCCUUUUACAUUGUCCUAGAUACACUCUACGGUCUUUGCAUGAAAUAUAAAAGAUAACACCUACCUAAAUAUCACAAUUCCGAAUGAAAGUAAAAAAGAAUGCAAAGAAAAUUAAACUAUGUAAAAGAAUGGAAAUGGAAUGCUAAAUGAUAUGUAUGAAGUACCAAAAUAAACUUGUUAGUAAAAAAAAACAUAACAAGUACUAAGAAAUAAAAGCAUGCAAGAUAGCACAAAAAGUUAACAAAAUGACAUUAAACCCUAAAAACUUAGGUAUGAAACCUAAUGCAUUCUUGGCCUCUAAUUCUCAUGCUUUAACAAGUUUGGAAAGAGUUUUCUUUAUCUCAAGUUAUAGCAUGGAAUUAUUGGAAACAUGCAAGCAUGGUUUCAUGCCAUAUUUUCUAGAAUAAACUUGGCAUUUUAUAUCUUUCAAAAUAUGCAUAUAUUGUUCAUAAAAUCAAGCACUCAUGAACCAAAUCAAAACAGCAAAUCAACAUGAAAUUAUAGGCACAAAUCUCUCAUAUUAACACAUCAAGUAGCUUUUAUCACAUAUUCUCACAUCAAGGACAAAUGUGUGAAGAAGAAUCCAUAACAAAUAAUUCAAAGAGAAUUAAAAUGCUAUGAAUUAAUUAUACAAAAAUUUCAUAGAUCCUUAAUGUUCAAAAAUGUCAUAAAAACACUAAGAAAAUAUCAAGAAACAUGUGAUAAUUUUUGGAGAUUUUUUGGAGAAAAUUUUAAGCAUGCAGGGGUUCAAACAGCAAAGAAAUAUGGUGCAAAUAGCAGGAAAACAAACAAAAACGUAAAAGAUCAAAGCCCAAACCAAAGGCCCAAUUCACAAAACUCAGAUUGCACAGGAGACGUUAGAUCGAUCUAGAGGCUGAGAAAGAAAGGAAAAAACCGGAAAUAAACCGGACCGGUUCAAAGCUCUAUAUAAAUGCGUCCAGUCCGGUUUUUUUCAUUUUUUUCUUUUCCUUCUCUCUCUUCUCCCCUCUAGUGAGAGAAGCUCUCACUUCUCUCUAAGAUUCCGGUCAUCUUCUCCGGUUGGCAUGGCUUUUCCGGCGCGGCGGACGGCGGUGGCGCCUCCGCGCCGGAGUUUGAAACUGCUCCGAUUCACAUUUUUUUUACGUUUUUAAACAUCCUUUUUUAUGUGUUACUCGAAUCCGAGCUUAGAUUUUUUUAAAAAAAGUUUGAAUCGGAGUAGAUCUGAGUUUGAACUUCGAUGAAACUUUGGAACAAAAACGGAAAAGGAAAGAGAGAAAGGAGUGAAGAGGAUUACCUCUUUGUUGCUUUUGGCUCACGAACGUGAUUCUUGGUUUUGGCUUGGCUUGUUGCGUUCGAAUCCACUGCUUUCUUCUUCUCCUUGCUCACGACACGUUCGUGCUUGCUUCUGUUGCUUGCGUUGUUUUGCACUGGCUUCCGUUGCUUGCGUUGUUUCGCACUGGCUUCUGUUGCUUGCGUUGUUGCGCGUUUUUCCUCUUCUUCUCCGAUUCGCGUUUUUCGUGAUCGUGCUUGAGUCCGUUGCUAACAGCGAUGGAUUCGCACUGGAAUUGCGAAAGGAACGGUUCGAUGAUGACGAUUCAAGGACGAAUCACUGAGAACUGCAGAGAAAUCUGAGAAAUCUGAGAAAUCUUUGUUGAAUUCUGGUGAAUUUGUGAUGAAUCUGUGUGUUAGGGUUUGGGAUUUUUCUGUGUUCUUGGUGAUUUUCUGUUUUCUGAUCUAACAGAAUAGAGAGAGAAAUUGAGAAAUCUGUUUGUGAUGUGGCAUAUGAUGAAUGGAUCCCCCUAAAAAAUCUGACACUGUUCCCCUUUUAUAUGCUGCCAUGUGUACCUGAACCAAUAAAAAAGUGACAUCUGGACUGGACUAAAAUUUGUGCGAAAAAUUGGACCAAAAUGCCCUUUGGGGCGCCCCUGCAAAAAAAUGAUAAUAAAAGGACUGAAAUGCAAUUUUUAGAAACUUUUGGACUGAAAUGCAAUUUUUAGAAACUUUUGGACUGAAAUGCAAUUUUGGGACCUUAAUUGAGGGACCAAAAUGUAAUAAAAAUAAAAUUUGAAUAAAAAACGCAAUUUGAUCAAACGUAAAGUGAAACCAAAAUAAAAUUGACAAAACGGACUAAAACGAACCAAUGGCCUAAAUGAGGUACUUCAAAGUAACCUCCCUACGCCGAAAUUUUGUGUGAAAUGACCAAAAUGCCCCUAGGGCUAAAAAUGACCUAAACUGACUCAAACAGACUCUGACACUGACUCAGAUGCAAGUUUGAAAUGAAUUUAAACAGGGUUUACUGAUGAAAUGUUAAAAAUGAAUUUGAAAAGACUCAGAGACAGUCACAAGGAUGAAAAUGGGUCCCACUGCAGGAAAUGACCAAAAUACCCUUCUGUAUGACUUUUUGCAAAUUUUGAAAUAAACUGUAGAAAAAGCAAUGUAAUGAUUCAGAGACACUUUUGAAUGACUUACAAGACAAGUAAAGACAUUUUGAAAGGUUUUAUGCAAGAAAAACAGAGGUAAAAAUGUGAUUGAAAACACUGCGUAGCAGAGACAAUUUGAACUGUGCAGUUGAAAUUUGAUAAUUGACAAAGUUUGAAAUGAAAUUGGGCCCAGUAUUUUUAGGUCCAAAAACAGGGUAUAACAGCUGCCCCUAUUUAAGUUUCCUUGUCUGGAGAGUCAAGAGACGGAGUCUUUGGCUUGACAGGACGAAGAUACUUAAAUAUUAACAUUUGCGCUGUGUUUGGACGUAAAAAUACGCCUAACCAUUUUCAAAUACUAUGCAUGCCAUGCAUCAUUUGGAUUAUGAAUGCAAGACCUCAUGGGAAUUGGAAUUAACAAAAGAUGUCGUAUCCAUUGCGGGAUUGGUAGACAUAGACAAGAUAACAGAUAACAGGGUAGGUAGGAGACUAGGAACAAAUUGGACAGGUACAAGCUGCUCUUGGAUUGAGCUGGGUACUUGACUGGGAAUGAAACAAACGGACAACUGCGAGCUGUUCUUAUGGAUUCGAACUGGUAACUUCACAGGGGAUAGAGGUUACUGGACAAACAUGAGUUGUUCUUAUGGAUUCGAACUGGUAACUCACUUGGGGAUAUUGGAAAGUGCGAGCUGUUCUUAUGGAUUCGAACUGGUGACCCGACUGGGAAAAAAAAAAAAGAAAAUUGGCAAGUACGAGUUGUUCUUACGGAUUCGAACUGGUUACCCGACUGAAAGCAAGGCAAAUAGACAGGUGCGAGCUUGCUCUUGGAUGCGAACUAGUUACUCCACCGGAGAGAAACGGAUAGACAGGUACAAGCUGCUCUUAGAUUGAGCUAGUCACUUGACCAAACGGAAACAUAUUGACAGGCACAAGCUGCUCUUGGAUUGAGCUGGGCACUCGACCGAUAACAUAAGCAAAUUGAUAGGUACAAGCUGUUCUUGGCCUUGAACUAGCCACUUGACCAAACAGAAACAUAUUCACUGGGGAUUGGUUUGUUUGACAAAAUAUAGAUUGAGAUUGACUUGACGUCGAUUUGAUUUGAAAGGUAGAAAUUGACCGAUAUUAUUGGCUCAUAAGGUUUUGACAGAGAACCUGACAUGAGUAUUGAAUUGAGACUGAUGUUGAUAUUGGAAAUGCGAUAUGCAUGGAUGAUAUAACAGUUUCAUUAAAUGCAUGGGCACGUAAUAUGCAUGAUUAUGCAUGUAUGAAUGCUUGUAAUGCAUGACUGUUGGUAUUUUGUAGGCACGACUUCACGGGGAAGACAAGACAUUAGAGUAUUGGGCACGUAGUGGCUCGUGCUAUAUUACACAUUCUUGGAAAUCCUCUUUGGAGAUGACGUCGUUGGGAGACGUGUCGGAACCAUAGCUGAGGGCAGGUAGAUAUGCAACUUGCUGGAGAUAGAAUCUUGAGAGGCUCCACUGGGGAAAACGCCGUUGUGCUGGGCAUUUCAGUGCUGGGUAUGUUGUAGACAUUGCAUCUGUGGUCAAUGCUUUUUGCAUGUUAUAUUCUCAAUUUCAUUUAUUCAUUUUUUUGCAUCCCAUUUUUGCCUGGAUCGCCCUUUCGGGUUUUCGAUCCACCGGGGAAAUAAAUUCUUUUCAAUGCCCCAUUUUUGCCUGAACUGCCCUUUCGGGUUUUCAAUCCAGCGGGGUGCUCAUUCUUGCCUAAGCCGCCCUUCCGGGUUUUCAACUUAGCGAGCCUUUUCAUUUUCAUGCAUUUUCAUUCUGUUUUUUCAUUCUUGCCAUUGACCACAGACUAUCCUGGAGGAGAACCUGCUUGUAACACAUAUUGAAAUAGACAUCAACAUACUCUCACUCAUGCAUGUUUCAUUUGAAUGUACCCUGUUGCUCAGGUUUGCUUUUCAAAAUAGACAAAAAGUUUUCAAUUUUCAAAAUGUUUGUUUCAAGCAUUGUCAUUAUCAAAAUAGAAAGAAAAUGUUUUGUAUAUAGCUUUGAAAGUAGAAGAAAAAAUAGAGUUUUCAAACAAAAGUAAAGGCUCAAAUUGAUGUAUAAGAGUGGUGGUCAGCCAAAGGCAUGACUCCACGGAUUCACAAAGCUUGGAAAAUGGUAAUUUUAUUGGUUGGUGGUACAUUGAACACAGCAAUCAUUACAUUUCCUGGAAACUUUGAAUUCGCAAGCGUAGGAGCUUUAGAUGAAGAUAGGCAUUAACAGCUGCAGAUGCCCCAAGGGAGACGGUGGUUGACUAGAUAUAGUUACUUGCCUUUUGUUUCAAUCUCAUUUUUGCAUGAACCGCCCUUCCGGGUUUUCGGCUCAUCGAGACGCUCAUUCUUGCCUGAGUUGUGUACAAUCUCAGCGAGCUUUUCAUAUUUGUUUCUUUUUUGUCCCUUAUUUUUGCCUGGACCGCCCUUUCGGGUUUUCGAUCCACCGGGAAGCGCAUUUUUGCCUAGGCCGCCCUUUCGGGUUUUCGACCUACCACGCUGUUCUUUGCAUAUUUCUAGGCAAAGUAUUUCUUAACUAUAUCAGCAUUCACUGGAUUUGGAAGUUCUACACCAUCCAUGUGUGUAAGGAUUAAAGCACCACCGGAGAAGGCUUUCUUGACAACAUAAGGACCUUCAUAGUUAGGCGUCCACUUGCCCCUUGGGUCGGGUUGCUGGCUUAUCCUCCUUUUCAAAACAAGUUCCCCUACCUUGAAUUCUCGAGGAUUGACUUUCUUGUCAAAAGCAGUCUUCAUUCUGGCUUGAUAUGAAUGUCCACGAGCCAUGGCAUCCAUACGUUUUUCCUCAAUCAAAUUCAACUGAUCAUACCGGCUUUGGCACCAUUCAGCCUCAGAUAACUUUGCUUCCAUGAUCACACGGAGAGACGGGAUCUCCACUUCCAAAGGAAGAACUGCUUCCAUACCAUAUACAAGAGAGAAAGGGGUUGCCCCGGUUGAACUGCGCACUGUAGUACGGUAGCCAUGCAGAGCAUAGGGUAACAUCUCAUGCCAGUCCUUGUAAGUAGUUACCAUCUUCUGGACAAUUCUCUUGAUAUUCUUGUUGGCGGCCUCAACUGCACCAUUCAUCUGAGGUCUAUAAGGAGAAGAGUUAUGGUGCUCAAUUUUGAAUUCUUCACAAAGAGCUUGCACCACAUUGUUGUUCAGGUUGGUACCAUUGUCAGUAAUAAUCUUGCUGGGAACACCAUAUCGACAGAUGAUGUUGUUCUUGAUGAACUUAGCUACCACUUGCUUGGUCACAUUGGUAUAAGAUGCUGCUUCAACCCACUUGGUGAAGUAGUCAAUUGCCACUAAGAUGAAACGAUGACCAUUUGAAGCCUUCGGUUCAAUUCUUCCAAUCAUGUCGAUGCCCCACAUUGAGAACGGCCAUGGGGAUGACAUAACAUUGAGAGCGUGCGGAGGCACAUGAAUCUUAUCAGCAUAGAUUUGACAUUUGUGGCAUUUUCUGGCGUACUGGUAGCAAUCAUGCUCCAUGGCCAUCCAAUAGUAACCUGCUCGUAACAACUUCCUUGACAUAGUAUGCCCUGUAGCAUGGGUCCCGAAGGUACCGUCAUGUACAUCAUGCAUUAACUGCUCUGCUUCAUGUUCAUCAACACAUCUUAACAAUACCAUGUCAUAGUUUCUCUUGUACAGAAUAUCUCCAUCUAACAGGAAUCUACUGGCCAAUCUUCUCAAGGUCUUCUUGUCUUGUUUGGAAGCACCCGGCGGAUACUCACGGCUUAGCAAGAACUGUUUGAUGUCGUAGUACCAGGGUCUAUAGUCAACCACAUUUUCACCAGCCUGAUCGAUCACAUCCCCAAUAGCAAACACAUGUGAAGGUCUUUCAAGGCGCUGCACUUUGAUUAAUGGCACAUCAUUCCAAUGGUUCACUCGAAACAUGGAAGAUAGAGUAGCAAGAGCAUCAGCCAUUUGAUUCUCAUCACGAGGAAUAUGGUGCAACUCAACCUUUGUAAAAUAUGUCAGCAAACGCCUCGCAUAAUCACGAUAAGGAAUCAAUUUAGCAUGAUGUGUCUCCCAUUCACCCUUUAUCUGAUUGAUGACGAGCGCGGAAUCUCCAUAGAUGUCGAGGUGUUUGAUUCUCAUGUCAAUUGCUUCCUCGAUCCCGAAGAUACAUGCUUCAUACUCAGCCAUGUUAUUGGUACAUUCGAACAGAAUUCGGGCGGUAAAGGGAAUGUGAUGCCCUUGCGGGGAUACAAUGACUGCCCCAAUUCCUUUGCCAUAAGCAUUGACAGCACCAUCAAAGACUAAACCCCACUUGCUAUUGGGAUCUGGACCUUCAUUAAUCAACGGUUCGUCGCAGUCUUUGGAUUUCAAAUACAUGAUCUCUUCAUCGGGGAAAUCAAACUCAAUUGGUUGGUAAUCAUCAAGAGGUUGGUAGGCAAGAUGAUCGGCAAGAAUGCUACCUUUGAUUGCCUUUUGAGUUUUGAACACAAUAUCAUAUUCUGACAAAAGCAUCUGCCAGCGUGCAAUCUUUCCAGUAACAGCAGCUUUCUCAAAGAUAUACUUUAUCGGAUCCAUUCUGGAUAUCAACCAAGUUGUAUGAUUCACCAAAUAAUGACGCAGGCGUUUGGCAGCCCAAGCUAAAGCACAACAAGUCUUCUCAAGCAUUGUAUACCGAGUUUCACAAUCGGUGAACUUCUUGCUUAGAUAGUAGAUAGCAUGCUCUUUCUUUCCAGUUUCAUCUUGUUGACCAAGCACGCAUCCCAUGGAUUCAUCAAAUACUGCCAAAUACAUGAUCAACGGCCUUCCUUCCACGGGUGGGACAAGGAUAGGUGGUUCCAGCAGGUAAUUCUUGAUGCUAUCAAAAGCUUCUUGGCAUUCAUCAUUCCAUACAACAGGCUGGUUCUUCCUUAGUAGCUUGAAGAUCGGCCCGCAGGUUGCGGUCAUAUGAGAUAUGAAUCGGGAGAUGUAAUUCAAACGUCCCAAGAAACCUCUGACUUGCUUCUCUGUCUGUGGAGCUGGCAUUUCUCGGAUGGCCCGGACUUUAUCAGGAUCGACUUCAAUGCCCUUUUGGCUGACAAUGAAGCCUAAUAACUUCCCGGACCUGACACCGAAUGUACAUUUGUUGGGAUUCAAUCGCAGCUUGUAUUUUCUCAACCUUUCAAACAUCUUUGUUAAAUAUUCAACAUGCUGCUCCUCAUCUGCUGACUUCACAAUCAUAUCAUCCACAUAUACCUCAACUUCUUUGUGAAUCAUGUCAUGAAACAGAGUGGUCAUUCCCCUUUGGUAGGUAGCACCAGCAUUGAUUAGGCCGAACGGCAUCACUUUGUAGCAGAAAGUACCCCAUGGAGUGAUAAAAGAUGUCUUUUCUCUAUCCUCAGGAGACAUUUUGAUUUGAUUAUAACCGGAAAAACCGUCCAUGAAGGAGAACACCUUAGACUGAGCAGUAUUAUCAACAAGCACAUCGAUAUGAGGUAAUGGAAAGUUGUCUUUUGGACUGGCCUUGUUCAGGUCUCUGAAGUCAACACACAUCCGAACUUUACCAUCCUUCUUUGGCACAGGCACAAUAUUGGCAACCCAUUCGGGAUACUCAACUGUCAUGAGGAAACCCGCAUCAAUCUGCUUUUGAACUUCAUUCUUGAUUUUGAGAGCCAUAUCAGGAUGAGUCCUUCUCAAUUUCUGCCUGACGGGAGGACAUUCAGGCUUGGUAGGGAUCCGAUGCUCCACGAUCAUAGGGUCUAGACCUGGCAUAUCUUCAUAGGACCAUGCAAAAAUAUCCGGAUAUUCCCGGAGGAGUUGAAUGAUCUUCUGUUUAACCCCUUCCUCUAGAGUAGCACCAAUCUUGAUUUCUCGCUUGUUUUCCUCGGUACCUAUGUUGAUAAGCUCAAUCUCUUCCUGGUGAGGCUGAAUGGCUUUCUUUUCUUGCUCAAGUAACCGAGUAAUCUCAUACGGUAUGUCAUCACUUUCCUCAUCUUCGGCUUCAUACACAGGGAAUUCAAGAUUUGGAGGAAACGUAGGAUUACUGUGUUCAACGGGUUUAUUGGGGUUCAACCUGCAUAUAAUGAUUGGAUGAUUUUAGAAAGAGUUUUUUUUCAUGCAGAUUUUUGAAAUUAAUAAGAAAAUACAAACGUUUUGGUUUUUUCUGGCAUUACCAUUGUUUCCAAGGGAAAAAGCACUAAAAAAAAAAAAGUAGUCGUGGAAGAAACGACAAAAUUUUAUUAAUCAACGGCAAUGCCGAAACAAACAUGCCCUUACAGAAAAUAUCACUCUCGCUUUGGGCAGAGCGAGAGGAUUGUUAUUUUGAAAACAAAGCAUUAAAGCAACAAGACACAUUACUCAGAAACAUGCAUGAUUGAAGGAAUGUCAAUGGCAUCCCAAUCUCUCGCAAUGCCUCCUGGUGUAACAAAUACAGGCCUGAGACCAGAUCCAGUGGCUUCUUCAGAGAUAGCAUUAACAAACCCUGCACUGUGGAAGACUCCUGAGGAAACCCUUGAUGACGGGGAGAACCCGAGACCUUCCUUACGCUUGUUCUCACAGAGCUGUAUCACCUUGCCCCAACCGGCAGUCUGACCUUCCUGGAUAACCUUCUGAGCAUCUUUCAAUGAAGCCAUAGCAGCCCCAGCUUUCUUAGACUCUGCACCUUCAAUGGUCAAACCUUGGAAAGCAGUCCCUUCAGCAGACCCUGCUUCAAUACAAGAAAAAGAAGACAAUUGGCUGACUAAGUAUGCUUCUUCACCAUGGAUUGUAACGAGUUUUCCAUUCUUCACAAAUUUCAACUUCUGAUGUAAGGUGGAAGUAACCGCACCUGCAUCGUGUAUCCACGGUCUUCCCAGCAGGCAACUGUAGGAUGCAUUAAUGUCCAUCACUUGGAAAGUAACCAAGAAAUUCUCAGGGCCAAUGGUUAUCGGCAAGUCUAUCUCUCCCAGCACAUUCUUUCGAGAUCCAUCAAAAGCUUUGACCAAGAAAGUACUUCUCCUCAACGGGGUCCCAUGGUAGCUCAACUGGUCUAGAGUCGUCUUGGGCAUUACAUUGAGAGAGGAACCGGUAUCCACCAACACAUUUGAUAUCAUGUCUGAUUUACAAUUCACCGAGAUGUGCAAAGCCAGAUUGUGACUCUUUCCCGCUUCCGGCAACUCUUCUUCACUGAACCAGAGGUUGUUACAAGCAGUAAUAUUUCCCACUAUGCCACCGAAACGAUCUACCGUAACUUCGUGGUCAACAUAAGCCUGCUCCAGCACUUUCAACAAAGUAUUCCUGUGAGCCUCAGAGCUUAAGAGUAAUGACAAGACAGAUAUCUUCGAAGGAGUCUGCAGCAACUGAUCAACGAUCUUGUAGUCGCUCCUCUUUAUUAUACUCAGAAUCUCAUCUAAAUUCGAAUCCUCUAUAGAUUUGCCAGGCUGGUUCACAUCUGUAGCAAUGGGUGAGACAACGGUUGGAGUUGCUUCUUCAACUGGUGGAAUGGUCGGUGUAGCUACCUUCUUCUGAAAUAACGGCGGACGAACUUUCCCGCUUCUUAGCGCUGCAGAAGUCCCUUCGGCAAUAUUGCUUACUGUGGCAAAGGAGGCUAGAGGCACCUCUACUCCAUUUUCUAUCAUAGUAGCAUUGUAUUUGUAUGGAACAGCCUUAUCCGAAACAUAAGGAAUUGGUCCUGGCAACCUUAUCACCAAAGGCUCAGCAUUCUUCUUCAAAGGUGUACUCUUGACAGGCGGAUCGUGAAAAACCGGCACAAUCACGCAAACAUCACUGACAGUCAGAAGAUUAUCAUUCAUCAAGCUUUGGAUGUCUUCUUGAACAGUAUAACAACCCAAAGGAUCACGGAGACAUCCCAGACACUUGGCAUGAUCAUGAUUAAACAGAGAAGCUUUGCACAGCUUGAUGUGUAGAGGUACCAGAGGAGUUGCGACGUUGCGGACAUCAAGUCUCGGAGCUUCUUCACACACUUCGAUCAUAUUCACAGCGGCAUGAUUUGGAAGAGGAUUGUCGAGGACGUGUGGGACAUUAUUCUCAAAAGUCAGCUUCCCUUGAUCGAUGAGCUUCUUCACGAUAUACUUCAAAGCAUAACACCCCUCGACAUCAUGACCUAGGGCACCUUGAUGAAAGUCACAUUUGAGAUCAGACCUGAACCUUGGAGGCAACGGAUCAGGUGGUGGCUUGCCCUGUCUAGUCGUACAAUGCCCUCUCUGGAGUAAAGUUGGAAGAAGUUCAGCAUAUAACAUCGGUAUCGGAGGGAAAGUAGGCCUAGCUUGCUGAUUUUGUUGUUGUUGUUGAACCGGCAUCUGCUGUUUCAUCUGUUGGGCAAUCGCAUUGACGGGCACUUGAGGCUGGCCCGGCGGCAAAGGGUACUGAUGAUAAAACGGUGGGAAGAACGGAUGCUGAGAAUACGGCAUAUAUGGGUAUGACGGAGGCAUUUGAGCUGCAUUGAUAGGAGCAACAGUAGCCAUUGAUUGACCGGCUCCAGCUGACACCAUCCCCACUUCCGUUUCUUUCUUCUUGUGGUGUCUAUUACCGUACCUUUUCGAUGCACUCGUAGAAGAUUCAGCUUUCUCAAACACAAUGAUUCCAUCCCUGACUGCUUCCUCAAGACGGGUCCCCAUAGUGACCAUCUCCGAAAAGUUGUUCGGGGCAGCGAUGAUCAUCCUCUCAACAUAAUCUUUCUUCAAGGUCUUUAAGAAUGUCUGGGUCAUUUCUUCCUCAUCUAAAGCAGGAGUGAUACGGGCAGCCGCCCCUCUCCACCUUUGCGCAUAUUCACGGAAACUUUCCUCCUUCUUCUGAGAUAGGGACCUGAGAAACUCCCUAUUUGGCCUCAGUCGAGUGUUAAACCCAUAAUGGCUCUUGAAAGCGGUGGCUAACUCAUCAAAGGUAUGGAUGUCAUUCUUACUCAAACUAGUAUACCACUCUGCGGCAUCCUCCAUCAGACUAUCCUGAAAACAGUGGAUCAUAAGGGAAUCAUUGUCUUUGUAAUUGCCCAUCUUCCGGACGUAUUUGAUGAUGUGAUUUUGAGGACAAGUCAGCCCGUUGUACCGGUCGAAGUCCGGAAUCUUGAACUUUUUAGGAACAUCCACUUUUGACACUAAGCAAAGGUCUUGAGUUUUGACAGAGUCUGCAUUCCCUCGAUUGGCCUGGAUCUCGUGACGGAGUUCUUUAGCAAGUUCCUCCAUCAUCUCUUCCAUAGUCUUGGUUACGGGGAUGCUUCUGUGCUGUGUGUUGAUGUUAAUACCUUGAGGCAGAGUGUGUACCAGAGGCUCAGUGACAGCUGCUGUUGUUUGUGGCAAAGUAGCAAUGAUGGAGGCGGCAUUUGUUGCAGGGAUCAGAACAUUGUUAGCAGUGCCCGAGGUGCUUGCUGUAGCAACGGGAGUGAAGAAUGGUGGAAGCCCAUACGGAAACCCCACUGGCAUAGUAAAGCGAUUGUCUGCAGAAGUGGUAGGGAGCACGCUUGUAGUUACUGGUGCAGCUGUGGUUGUAGGGAUAGCUGUAGCUGAUUGCUCUUGAGCAGCUAGUAGAGCAGUCAUGACGUCAUUAGCUUUAGCCAAUUCCUCCUUUAGAGAGGCUAACUCGGUGCGAAGCUGAGCGCUCUCUUCUUCCAUAGCCCUUUUCUUUCUUCUGUAUUCUCUGGUUCGAUCAAUUCUAUCUGGUUCGUAAACUCUCUGAGCACGAGCCACUUUUCACACUGUGGCAGAGGAACCAGGAGAUAGUGAGCACUUGGAAGCCUUUGUGACCAAUGCAUGAUGCAUAUGAUGCAUGAUAUGCAAAUGCGAAUGCAAAAGACUUAUUUUUUUCAUCGAAGGAUUUUAAAACAAAUUAGAAAUCUUGCAAAUAAACAAAAUUACACAACAUUUUCAACAAGGUAAACAAAUAGAGCUCUCAAGCAUAGGAAGUAGUCGGAAGAUCAUCGGACUCGGAAUCUGAAUCACAGUAUCUGUCAAAGAAAUCUCGUCGUCCUCGAGCUCUCUUGGAAUCCCUCAUAAGCAGCUCGUCUUUCUCUUCCAACUCCCUCCGGGCUUUAGCUAGUUCUUUCUUCAACAUCAGAUUCUCAUGAGUCUUCUGCUCAUCUCUACCAUCCAAAGUCAUGAUUAGAUUCUCAGCUUGAUUGUACCGAGCUUUCCACACUUGCUUCUCACGACUCUCCAUAGCUAGAUGCUCCUGAUACAUAUCCUGAGUUGCGGGAAGCAAAGGUAGAGGCAUAGAUGGGGUAGAUGAAGACACAUAUCUCAUAGCUGGAUAAGGCAUACCAAUCUCCUCAGCUCGAUCUAUCACCCACUGAGUAUAGGCCUCAUGAGCGACACCGGAUCUCACACCUAGAUGCUUCACACUCUUCCUUCGAACCUUGGACCAAGCGUCUAUGAAAGCUUUCCUUUGUCCGGUGGGAGCAUUCAUGUAGAAGAAGAACUCUGGAGAUGUGGCAAGAUUGAUGGGCUUCGAUUUCAUAGGGAAACCGAACUGUCUCAUAGCAAGCUCGGGGUUGUAGUUGAUUCCUCCACGGGUACCAAGAAGAGGUACAUUGAGAAAGUCUCCGCAACCCAUGAUGAUUUCCUUUACCUGAGCGGCCGGAGUGAGCCAGACGACCUCAUUAGGAGUGAGAGCCAUAAUCCGCUGAGAGUAGGACCAAUUUUCCGAGUUAUCAUGGAAGGAACUCGGAAGGUGCGAAAUAAACCACCUAUACAAAAGAGAUGUGCAGCAAAGAAUAUACCCACGGCCCUUGAGAGUCCUGUCAUGAAUGGCAUGGUAGGUAUCCGCUAGCAAAGUAGGAACCGGGUUCUUGGAAUGAAAGAUCUCGAUAGCAUUCAUGUCCACGAAGUUGUCGAGGUUCGGAAAGAGGAUGAGCCCGUAGAUAAGCAAAGCAAGAAUAGCCUCGAGUGUAUCCUGACGAGUAGUACCGAGAUUAGCCUGAUCAAGAAGAUACUUUGAAGUGAACCCCCGGAUGUGAGACUUGGUAAUAAGAUGGUUGGAGACGUCGGAAGUCUUGAGGUAGAGAUCCUUAGCAAUAACCAGAGGAGUAAGAGAAGUCCCGGGACCGGUGAAAGGCGUCUUCUCGGCUAUAGGUAAACCCACUAGAUUGGAGUAAGCCUCGAGAGUAGGAACCAACUGGAAGUCCGGGAAGGUGAAACAACGGAAGCUUGGAUCAUAAAAUUGCACUAGAGUGUGCACUAGCUUCUCGUCCACAUCGGUUCGGAGCAAAGUAAGCAAUCCCCCAUACCGGAGUCGGAACCCUGUUUGACUCUUGACCUUGAGUGCCAACCCUCUCAAACUGACCAAAUCCACUUCCUUGAACUUGUAGCACUUAGUCUUCUUCAUACCUGUGAUUAUUUACAAAAAUUUCCAUUUGUUUAAACCCUUCGAUGAAUGCAUGAAAAAUGUUUAUGCAUGAAUGCAUGUAUGCAUGAUUGUGUUGUUAAAGAACAAAGUGGGUUGAGUUUCAAAGUAACGGGGCCACGGAUGGACACGGCGUCCGGUGAACUAAGGCUUUGGAUAGUAGUAACCAAGGUUCUAACACAGUUCCCAAACUGCAACCUCUCUCACAUAUAUCAUGGUAGUACAGGACGACACCCGUUCCAUGAUUAUUUGUGAGAAGGUCUAGUUUGAGUGUAGUAUCGCGUGACGACUAAAGUUUGAGACAACACUCAAUUUAGCCACCGCACUACGUCCUAAAAAGGCUAGGAUGGGUUUGGUAACUACGGUUCAUAGCUUCGUCGAACAAUUGAAAGUGAAGUGCCUAAGCAUGACAACACACGCCGACAAUAUCACCUCCAAAAUGCCUCAGCUAUGUGAGAUUGAUCGCAUAAUCCAAUACACGAGGCAACCCCCGGAUCGAAUUGUCGAUUAUAUCUCUACCUAAACAUAAGUUCACUCAGCCCGGGUUAGGACUUUUGAUAUUCUCACCCCACACGUUGAAUGAAAGUAAACAAGUAUUCACAUAUGUAAGCAAUAAAACAAAGUGUAAAUAUAAACUAAGGAAAACUAGGCGCGACCCGCUAAAAAGAGUCCCCAGUGAAGUCGCCAUUUCUGUUAUCAUGGUUUUUGGGUGCCAAGCCAUUAAUUGGACUUGUACCUUUCGACCGUUGAUAUCUCUCUUUUUUCUUGGGAAGGGAAAAAUUGAGAAAAAACCCUUAGAUUCUAAGUUCGGGGGUCGGUUUUACUACGGGAAGGUGUUAGGCACCCGGAGUAACUAUAGUCCUCUAUAGGAGCCGUUUUCCUAAGUUGAUUUCUACGCUUAUUUUUACUUACUUUUGAAAAUGGGAGAUUUAUUUAGUUAAGAAUGAGGGGAGAGAAGUUGUAAGACUUUUUAUCUUUUAGUUGAUUUGAAGAAAAUUUUAAUGUGUUGCUAUUUGAUUUUUAAAGUUUGAAAAUGAUUUUUUGAAGAAGAGAAAGGAGGCCUUAAAGGCUUGAGAAGUAAAAAUGUGAAGUUUGCCCAAUUUUACUUAAUAAAAUAGUCUAAGUCACUUAAGGUUCAUUUAGAAUUUUCUUAAGAAAGUAAAAGGAAACAUCAAAGGAGUGUUGACUCCAAAGUUCAUUUUUAAAAAAAAAGCUAGAAUUAUGGAACUUGGUUUGCUUUAUGAAAAAAAAUAUUUUCUAAGUACUCGCGUUCCCUAAUCAUACAUCUAAACGAAUGUCAUACACCGUGUGUGAGUGUCGGUGCUCGUGUCGGUGUACAUCAAUAGAGUCCAUAGUCCCUUUUACAUUGUCCUAGAUACACUCUACGGUCUUUGCAUGAAAUAUAAAAGAUAACACCUACCUAAAUAUCACAAUUCCGAAUGAAAGUAAAAAAGAAUGCAAAGAAAAUUAAACUAUGUAAAAGAAUGGAAAUGGAAUGCUAAAUGAUAUGUAUGAAGUACCAAAAUAAACUUGUUAGUAAAAAAAAACAUAACAAGUACUAAGAAAUAAAAGCAUGCAAGAUAGCACAAAAAGUUAACAAAAUGACAUUAAACCCUAAAAACUUAGGUAUGAAACCUAAUGCAUUCUUGGCCUCUAAUUCUCAUGCUUUAACAAGUUUGGAAAGAGUUUUCUUUAUCUCAAGUUAUAGCAUGGAAUUAUUGGAAACAUGCAAGCAUGGUUUCAUGCCAUAUUUUCUAGAAUAAACUUGGCAUUUUAUAUCUUUCAAAAUAUGCAUAUAUUGUUCAUAAAAUCAAGCACUCAUGAACCAAAUCAAAACAGCAAAUCAACAUGAAAUUAUAGGCACAAAUCUCUCAUAUUAACACAUCAAGUAGCUUUUAUCACAUAUUCUCACAUCAAGGACAAAUGUGUGAAGAAGAAUCCAUAACAAAUAAUUCAAAGAGAAUUAAAAUGCUAUGAAUUAAUUAUACAAAAAUUUCAUAGAUCCUUAAUGUUCAAAAAUGUCAUAAAAACACUAAGAAAAUAUCAAGAAACAUGUGAUAAUUUUUGGAGAUUUUUUGGAGAAAAUUUUAAGCAUGCAGGGGUUCAAACAGCAAAGAAAUAUGGUGCAAAUAGCAGGAAAACAAACAAAAACGUAAAAGAUCAAAGCCCAAACCAAAGGCCCAAUUCACAAAACUCAGAUUGCACAGGAGACGUUAGAUCGAUCUAGAGGCUGAGAAAGAAAGGAAAAAACCGGAAAUAAACCGGACCGGUUCAAAGCUCUAUAUAAAUGCGUCCAGUCCGGUUUUUUUCAUUUUUUUCUUUUCCUUCUCUCUCUUCUCCCCUCUAGUGAGAGAAGCUCUCACUUCUCUCUAAGAUUCCGGUCAUCUUCUCCGGUUGGCAUGGCUUUUCCGGCGCGGCGGACGGCGGUGGCGCCUCCGCGCCGGAGUUUGAAACUGCUCCGAUUCACAUUUUUUUUACGUUUUUAAACAUCCUUUUUUAUGUGUUACUCGAAUCCGAGCUUAGAUUUUUUUAAAAAAAGUUUGAAUCGGAGUAGAUCUGAGUUUGAACUUCGAUGAAACUUUGGAACAAAAACGGAAAAGGAAAGAGAGAAAGGAGUGAAGAGGAUUACCUCUUUGUUGCUUUUGGCUCACGAACGUGAUUCUUGGUUUUGGCUUGGCUUGUUGCGUUCGAAUCCACUGCUUUCUUCUUCUCCUUGCUCACGACACGUUCGUGCUUGCUUCUGUUGCUUGCGUUGUUUUGCACUGGCUUCCGUUGCUUGCGUUGUUUCGCACUGGCUUCUGUUGCUUGCGUUGUUGCGCGUUUUUCCUCUUCUUCUCCGAUUCGCGUUUUUCGUGAUCGUGCUUGAGUCCGUUGCUAACAGCGAUGGAUUCGCACUGGAAUUGCGAAAGGAACGGUUCGAUGAUGACGAUUCAAGGACGAAUCACUGAGAACUGCAGAGAAAUCUGAGAAAUCUGAGAAAUCUUUGUUGAAUUCUGGUGAAUUUGUGAUGAAUCUGUGUGUUAGGGUUUGGGAUUUUUCUGUGUUCUUGGUGAUUUUCUGUUUUCUGAUCUAACAGAAUAGAGAGAGAAAUUGAGAAAUCUGUUUGUGAUGUGGCAUAUGAUGAAUGGAUCCCCCUAAAAAAUCUGACACUGUUCCCCUUUUAUAUGCUGCCAUGUGUACCUGAACCAAUAAAAAAGUGACAUCUGGACUGGACUAAAAUUUGUGCGAAAAAUUGGACCAAAAUGCCCUUUGGGGCGCCCCUGCAAAAAAAUGAUAAUAAAAGGACUGAAAUGCAAUUUUUAGAAACUUUUGGACUGAAAUGCAAUUUUUAGAAACUUUUGGACUGAAAUGCAAUUUUGGGACCUUAAUUGAGGGACCAAAAUGUAAUAAAAAUAAAAUUUGAAUAAAAAACGCAAUUUGAUCAAACGUAAAGUGAAACCAAAAUAAAAUUGACAAAACGGACUAAAACGAACCAAUGGCCUAAAUGAGGUACUUCAAAGUAACCUCCCUACGCCGAAAUUUUGUGUGAAAUGACCAAAAUGCCCCUAGGGCUAAAAAUGACCUAAACUGACUCAAACAGACUCUGACACUGACUCAGAUGCAAGUUUGAAAUGAAUUUAAACAGGGUUUACUGAUGAAAUGUUAAAAAUGAAUUUGAAAAGACUCAGAGACAGUCACAAGGAUGAAAAUGGGUCCCACUGCAGGAAAUGACCAAAAUACCCUUCUGUAUGACUUUUUGCAAAUUUUGAAAUAAACUGUAGAAAAAGCAAUGUAAUGAUUCAGAGACACUUUUGAAUGACUUACAAGACAAGUAAAGACAUUUUGAAAGGUUUUAUGCAAGAAAAACAGAGGUAAAAAUGUGAUUGAAAACACUGCGUAGCAGAGACAAUUUGAACUGUGCAGUUGAAAUUUGAUAAUUGACAAAGUUUGAAAUGAAAUUGGGCCCAGUAUUUUUAGGUCCAAAAACAGGGUAUAACAACGUUGUUUUCGUGAUAGCCAAGAAAUAGGAUUACCUCCAAAAAAGAUAAGAUAUGCUGAUGUUGAGGUGCGGUCAUCCAUAUUUCCUCCCCAGUCUGCAUCUGUAAAGGCAAGAAGAUUGAAUGAGGAUGGUUUCUUUAAGAGUAUGCCAAAGUUAAUGGUUCCCUUAAUGUAGCGAAGUAGCCGCUUUAAAUGUUGAAGAUGAAGGGAUAUAGGUUUAUGCAUGAAUUGGGAGAGCUUGUUGAUUGCAAAUGAGAGAUCAGGCCGUGUCAGAUUGAGAUACUGAAGGGAGCCAAGAAUUUUUCUGUAGUGUGUGGGGUUAGUGGCGGUGGUGCCAUCAUGAAUGGUGAGGAUAGCUGUUGGUGACAAAGGUGUGGGCGCUGGUUUUGCACCAUCCAUAUCAAAUUUCUCAAGAAUUUCUCUAAUAAAUUUAUGUUGAGAUAAGAACAAUCCUUUGCUUGUGGGAAUUAACUCAAUGCCUAAGAAGUAGUGAGGUGUCCCCAUGUUCUUGAGAGAGAAAGUUUUAGAUAAAGAUUGAAUGAAGUUGUGUAGGAAUUCUGCAUCAUUACCUGUUAACAGCAAAUCAUCAACAUAUACCAAGAAGUAGGCAAUGAUAGCACCAGAAGCAUAUAUGAACAAAGAGGGGUCACUUUUGCUUGUAGUAAAGCCAUGAGAUGUGAUAAAGGCUUUUAGAGCAUCAUGCCAUGCACGAGGUGCUUGCCGAAGACCAUAGAUAGCUUUAUGAAGCUUGCAAACAUGAUUCGGAUACUGUUUAUCUUUUAGUCCUGGAGGUUGACUCAUGUAAACAUCUUCUUUGAGUAAUCCUUGAAGGAACGCAUUGUUAACAUCAAGUUGGUGCAGACGCCACCCUUUCCCCAAUGCUAUGGUGAGAACUAGUUUUAUUGUUUGAGGCCGAACCACCGGAGCAAAAGUCUAUUUGAAGUCAACACCCGGACAUUGAGUGAAACCCUUAGCCACAAGACGUGCUUUGUAUCUAGAAAUAGAGCCAUCAGAGUUUCUUUUGAUGCGAAAUAACCAUUUGCAAUCAACAAUGUUUUGAUGUGAUGGUGGUGGCACAAGUGUCCAUGUGCCAUUUCGAAUUAAGGCAUCAAACUCCUCAGAAAUAGCUUGUCUCCAAUGGGAAUAUUUUAUGGCUUGUCGGAUAUUAGAUGGUUCAAGGUUCUCAGGUAAUGGAUGAACAGAUGCAUGGUAAAGUUUCUUUGUUUUGAAUAUGUUGUUUUGGGAUCUAGUGACCACAUGAUUGCGAUCAUUAGCACCUGCAAUGGGGUUAGGUAGAAUCAUAGGUAGGUUUGAAGUAGAAGAUGUAGUGGGCAGAUUAUUACCUGAUGAAGAACUUGAGUGCAAGGUUGCCUCUUGAGGAUUUGCAACAGAUGUAGAGGUAGUGGUGGUCACAGUUUGUGAAGUAUUAGUUGUAAGUGGUGGUUUAAGAGGUAGGAUGAUGUGUGGUGGAUGUGGGUUGAUGCUUGGUAUUGGUUUGUAGAUAGGUGUCAGUUGUAUUAAGGAUGGGUAGGGAAAAUGGUUGUCAUAGAAGACCACAUGACGGGAUGUGUAUAUUUUGUUUGUUAUGGGAUCCAGGCAGCGAUAGGCAUAUUGAGAUGGUGAGUAACCAACAAAGAUACACGGUUGAGAUUUAGGUUGGAGUUUGUUGCUAUUGUAAGGUCGUAACCAUGGAAAACAUAAGCAACCAAAAGAGUGUAGGUGGGUGAUAUUAUAUGUUUGGUUAUGAAGGGUAUGAUAGGGUGUUUUCAUAUUGAGUGUUGGUGUGGGCAACCUGUUGAUUAGAUAUGCUGCUGUACUAAAUGCAAGCGACCAAAAUUGAGAUGGUAGGUUGGCAUGAUGUAGUAAUGCUCUAGCAGUUUCUACUAUGUGUCUAUGUCUUCGUUCGGCAGAGGAAUUUAGUUCAGGUGUGUGAGGUGGUGUGAUGUAGUGUGAUAUACCAUUGGAGGACAAAUAAGAUUUUAGUUUUAUGAAUUCUCCUCCAUUAUCUGAGUAAAGGGAAGUAAUAGAGAAGUUAAAAUGUUUCUCAACAACAUUUUUAAAUUGAGGAAAUAUAGUGGAGACAUCAGAUUUAUUUUUCAUGGGAAAAAGCCAAAUAUAUUUUGAGAAAUGAUCAACAAAUAUUAGAUAGUAUAAGAAACCAUCUAAGGACCUAACAGGGGCUGGUCCCCAUACAUCAGAGUAAAUAAUCUCAAGAGGCCUAGAGCUGGUAAUACUUGAAAUAGUGAAUGGCAGCUUAUGACUUUUUGAGGUAUUACAAGCGAUGCAUGGUGUGUUGAGACUAUGUUUUAUUUGCAGAAGGGAAAAUAGAUGUCUCAUGGUGCGAUUACACGGAUGUCCUAAAAUAUGAUGCCAAGGUGGAGUAGUGGCGAGUGAAGUUAUGAAGCUGGUGGUGGGUGGCUUUGGAAUGUGGUAGAGACCAUCCUUAUGCAAUCCUUUUAGAAGAGGCUCCCUUGUCUUCAAAUCCUUCACCAAAAAAUAAUCAGAAAAAAAUUCAAUGGAUAUAGGGUUAGUUUUGCAUAAAUGUGAGACAGACAAUAACUUGCAAGUGAUAUUUGGAACAUGAAGAACUUUAUGAAGGUGGAGAGUGCUUCUUUUCAAUGGUAAAAUUAUCUUACCAGUAUGAGUAAUGGGAAGUCCAGUACCAUCACCUAUGGUAAUUUUGUCUGAGCCAUGAUAGGGAGCAGUAAGGUGCAGAUCAUCAAGAGUAUUAGUGAUGUGGUUUGUAGCGCCGGAAUCAAGGAUCCAAUCUGGCUCACCCAUAAAAGGAGUAUGUGUAGCAGAAUGGGCAGAUGGACGUGGUUGAUUUUUGGAUGGAUAACCAUGAAGUUUGUAGCACGUUUUGGAAGUGUGUCCAGAUUUGUCACAGAAUUGACAAGUCGUUUUCUUAGACUGGCCUGGUGAAACAGAUCUGUUGGGUGAAGAGUAAUUUCCAUGAUUAGGUGCAUAGCCCCGUUUGGAAGUAGCUUGUUUACCUCUGUAUGCAGCAUGUGCAGUAAGUACUGGAGCAGAUUCAUCUUCACGUUGCAGAACAUUUUCAUAGUCCAUAAGUAGAUCAUGAAGCUCAACAAAGGCUAUGGGAUUCUCACGCGUACGAAGGGCAGCAGAAACUUCUUUGUACUCAGAUCCAAGCCCAUUGAGAGCAUGAAUAACCAAGUCAUCAUCAUCAACAGGUUUGUUGAUGACAGCAAGCUCAUCAGAGAUUGAUUUAAUACCUUGUAGGUAUUCAGAAACUGAUUUGGAGCCCUUUGUUGUACGAGACAGGCGCUCCUUAAGAUGCAUAAUGCGUGAUCUAGUCUUGCUAGCAAACAUUUUCUUGAGGGUAUCCCAAGCUUGUUGAGAUGUUUUCACAUUGCCAAGAGCAGUUAUGAUGCUCUGAUCGACAGAUGUGAUGAUAGCGUGCAAGAUCAAUUGAUCUUGUCUUGUCCAGUAAUUAAAAUCUGGAUCAGUUUGGGUAGGACACGGUUUUGUGCCAUAGAUGAACCCUUUAAGAUCAUAUCCAAUGAAAAGAGCAUUCAUUUGGACAUUCCAAGCUGGGUAAUUUGUACUUUUGAGUUUAAGUGAAUGUUGGGUAUUGAGGACAGUUACAGUGUUGGUUCCAACCAUGAAACUGCAACCAUUGUUGUUGUUAUUUGUGGAAGAGCUAUUGUUAUUAGUAUUUGCGGAAGACAUGGUGAAAGGGGGGGAAAAAAAAUGCACAGGUUAAGGAUCGUAUGGCUGUUAAGCUAAAAGGCCUCUGAUACCAUAUAGAGAAUAAUAGAGAAUAUAAUGAAAUGUUUUUGAAUUAUUCUGAUAAGUUUCAUUAGCCUCUCUAUUUAUAGUUAGAGAUGACCGAAUACAUUAAAGAGCAAUUAUAUUCUUCAUCUAUACAUGUACUGUACAUAAGACAAUGAAUAAAAUGUACAUCAAUGUAAAUAACUAUAGUCAAACACAAAACUGAAAUCUUCAAUAAUUAUAAUCAAUUGUAGUUAUGUGCAUGUUCUCAUGGUUGACUCCAUGAUGAUUACGUAAUUACUCAAUAUACAAUUCAUCUUGGCUUUAUUCAACGACAAUCCGAUUCAGUGCUCUUAACAUUUAUUCUAGGUCCUGUUUCGUUUCGUGUGAACUUUCGCAGUUGAUCAAGGUGCAUUGUAUGUCUCUUGUUUUGUCCUCCCAAUUCUCGAGUGUUUUUCGCAACUUCUCGAUGAGACCAUGAUUCAUGGCGAGUUCUUGAUUGUUUCUCAAUGUUGCUAGAUCAUGAUUUUUGGUUUUUUUCGAUCGUAAUUCUAAGUUUAUGUAUGAUUCAGAUUCUCGUGACCAAGAUUCAUGCUCGUUCAUGAUUGUUUUGUUCUUGCUUGGAAUUCAUAACUUUUUAUCUUAUUUUGGUAUUUAAUGGUAAAUUUGGCUAGUGCACCAAACCCUUCAAGUAAUAUUGUAGUAAGAUUAACGUCUUCACAUGAAUUGUUGUUUUCGACUCGAUAAUUUACUAAAAUUAUAAUGAAAAAAAGUAAACUGAAGGGAGUUUGCAAGAUUUAUUGACUUGUAAUGAAAACUAAAUAGAUUUGUUGAUUCAGAGUUUUAGCAGUGACUAGGAUCCUCUCUACCUCUUUGUUGGACUAAUGCAUAGCUCUUACCAAUUAAGACCUAAAUACUAUAUAAACGAUAGUUAACCUUGCGGAACGAAUAUCAUUGUUCCUCCAGAUGUCAUAAUAUUCCAUACCAAAUAUAACCUAUAAAACCAUGGACUUAUCCUCCCAUAGGUAAUUGACUCUAGAAUGUCAUGUUGCUCUUCAUGUCUAUUUAAGGGACUUAUGCUCACACAAAUGGAGGAGGCGUUUGAAUGUCAGAUUGCUCCCAGGGUCGAGACUUACAUUCGGACAUGUGCCUUAGAACCUAACCAUCAUACUAUAAGGAUCCCUAAACUAGUUAUAGACGCAUGAGAAAAUUUCAUAUAUGUGACGAUUUCAAUUGGUUUGCGCCUCAACCUCUGUUAGGCUGGUUUAUACGAAAGAAAGAACACAUCCUCCUUCCUUUUCCUCUUGUUUAACAGGAAUUCCAUGAAUUUGGCAUAGAGAAGCUAAUGUCGCAUGUUUCCCUCGGUAAGAUUUUGGAAUGUGUGCUCUCCCUUCUUAUAGAACCCUUAGACUCUUACUACAAAGGAAUCUUCAUUUGAAUCUCAAAUGUCACGAGUUUUGAUGGAAAUGAUUGUUUUUCUACUUGCGCCAUCACAUCCUUCACUAUUCCAUAUGUAUGUUUAAUUGAUCUAUCUACAAGUGUUAACAGGAACGCUUGAUGGCUCCACUUGAACUCUUUCGAUCUUUCUUAGCAUUGAAGAUUGAUAACGACAUCAAGUUAAUGUUUGCACCUAGAUCACAAAGAUUUUCCUAUGGAUAGUUUCCUAAUGAGAAAUGCUUAAUCUCAGCGACAAAUCUUAUCACGAUGUUUCACGAAUGUGGUACCUACAAGCACAGACUUGUAAUUAAUACAACCUUUCUUUUCAAAAUGAUGAGUUUUAUCUCCAUAUUAUUAUUGUGAAGCUGCGUACCUUUUCUUAACAUCUCUGUCUACCGCACUCACCUCCUCUCAUGCCACUAUGAAUCUGCUGAGUGUAUCAAUACUUAUGAAGCUGCAUGCCUUUUCAAAUAUUUCAAUAAGUGAGAAUUUUUUGCCACCAAAAAUAGAAUUGCUCAUAAUAUAUUUGUUAAUUAUAAACUGGUGAUAUAGCUUCACUGAUUCACAUGCUAGCCAUUUGAGUGAGCUACUUGGAAUGAUGGCCAUUUAACAUGAUGGUGGGUUACCUUACAAGAAAAAACAUGACGGUGUUUAUUAAAUUAUUUUUUCAUUUUGAUAAAACACAGUCCUUUUUUCUUAUUUAAUACUAGCCAUAUAGUAGUAGUUAUAUAUAUUGGAAAGAAAUGUAAAAAGAUUGUUUCGUGAAAAUUCGUGUGGAAAGUCUUCGCUACAUAUAGCAUAGAGAGUUAAAAGUUCUUGAAUUAUUUUUCUUUGAAGGUAGCCGUCUUGAAAAGAUGACAUUAUAACUUUUAGUUAGAGCAAUAGGUUCUUCCUUAUUUUAUUUUGAUAUGUUGAUUAGGAUAUGCAAAUAGUAUGUGGUUGUCUUGAGACGCCUCUCUAAAUUUACCAUGUUAUGCCUUUUUACUCUGCUCAUAGUCUUGGAAUGAAAAAAGGCAAAGAUAAACUAGGGUAUAAGUUUCUCUUAUAUUAUUCAUUUUCUUCUAGCAUCAUUAUUAUGCAAUACAUAGGAAGGCAAAUAUGGUGGGCGAGGGGGACCAUUUCCGGUCUGUUCCCGUUGCUUUGCCAUUAUUAGUCAAUACACUCACUCAUACUCAUUCCCUCGUAAUAAGACAGAUAAAAAAAUACACGUGGUAUGGGACAGAGGCUGCUAUUAUCAAGUGCUCCAAUAAUCUCUCAUUCACUUAUCACUCAACUCAUCUUGAAUUUGAAUCUUCAUCUAGAGUCUAGACUCGUACCCUUCAAUAUCAUGACAUUAAAUGCUGUGAGUGAACGUUUCACCAAAGACAAAUUUGGAGGCAUUAUAUUAUUAUUAUAGCUAAAUUACAGCAGAGGUCUUUUAAAUUUGAAGUUUGUAACAGAAAAAUUUUAAGUAAUUUUGAUUAUACGUAAGUUCAUUUAAGUUUAUAAACGUUUUCAAUUUAGUCCUUAUGUUAACCAAAUAUUACAAAAUCAAUGAUGUGACAAUUAAGUGUAUGAUGUGGCAGUUAAGUUUGUAAGCGAUGAACAUUAGGAUGUAAAUUCUCAUCAAAGAAAGAGUUCAAGGAAGUUGUUAUCAAUUAUUUUGUGAAUAAUGGCUUCGAUUUGAGGUUCAUAAAGAAUGACAAGACUUAGGCACUGUAUGGUAAGGCGGCCACAAAACUAGCUUAUAGCUUGUAGCGGAUAGCUUAUAAGCUCGUUUGACCAAAAAAUUAAAGCUUUGUUUGGUAAGCUCUUUUCACCACGAGCUUAUAAACUAUUUUUCAGACGCUAUUCCAAGUAGCAUUUGAGCUUGUAGCCUAUAGCUUAUCAUAUUUUCUUCCACUUUUACCCUUACUAUUUUAUGGGAAAUGUUAACCGGUGCCCCCGAAGCACUGUUUAAGGAAACAAAUAUAGUAAUAUCGCAUUGUAACUUGUGCAAUCAAUUCAUUAAAAGAUUAAAAAGUAUUACUUUUAAUUUUAAACUUUUCUUUUAGGUUCCUUAACCAGUGCCCCAGAGACCCCGGUUAACAAGACCCUUAUUUUAUCUAAAAUCCAUUUUUACCCCUUUAUUAUAAUUUAAUUUAAACCUAUAGUUCCGCAAUAAAUAUGCAUAUCCAUCGUUAUUAUUUAUCUCUCUUGCCUUAUGUUGCUGACAAAAAAUAUAUAUACCUCCGUUGACAAAAAAAGUAUAUAUACCUCGUUAUACUUAAAUAAAAUUUUAGUGAAUAAAAUUUUAUUUACAAUAUAAAAGAUAUAUUAAAUUUAUAAAUUUCAAUUACUUUUUAAAAAAAAAUAUUUGAAUUAAGAAUUCCUGAAUAUUUAAAUGUCAAGUUUAUUUUAGAGUUUUUUUUUUUAGAGUUAAAUAUCAACUUAUAUAAACUUUAUUAUGAAUUAAUAAUAUCCUUUUAUGUCAUUUUACAUUUAUCAGUUAGUUAAACCACUAAUUUUAUCAAACAUUUCAAUUAGCUUAUAAGCUAACAAUCAUCAGUUAUAAGCUAUCAGUCAUCAGUCAUCAGCUAUAAGCUAUCAACUAUCCGUUAUUUUUACCAAACAGAGCCUUAGAGUUGGUUGGAAGGAUGAAUGUCUUUGGAUUGUUUUAUGUUCUAAGAUGUCUAAUGAGAAAGUAUGUCACAUCAUACACUUAACUGUCACAUCAUCAUUUUCGUAACGCUUGGUUAACAAUUAAAAUUUAUUUAUUAUAAAACCUCAAACUUAAAGGAUCACCGAUGUAAUUUAGCGUAUUAAUACUUAUAGCUAUGUUACUGCGUAAGAAAAUUCUAUUCCCACGUUUUUUAUUUUUGCAAGAAUUCCCACAUUUUGUUUGACAACCAUAUUAUUUUGCCGUUACAUGUAUAUAUCGCGAUUAGCAGACGGUCAAACACAAAAGAAAGGUUCCAAUUUCUUCUCAUUCCUCAGCUGCCUCACACACUUAGGUCGUUAGCCUUUGUUGAAAUUCAAUUCCACACUCAUCAAUUAUUAUUGUCCUCAUAUUUAUUGCCCAUACACUUACAACAUUAAUAUUCGUCAUAUCUAUAUAUACCUAAAUGUAUAUCUCAACAUAACAUUAAGUAUAAAAAAUAAAAAUAAAAAUAAACACUAUUAUACAUUCCACCGUCAUUAGAAAACAAAAACAUAUAUAAAACAGAAACAUGGAGUCUUAUUCUGGCUCAUAUUAUUCUUCAUCUAAAUCUUCAUACAUAUCCAAAAACACUAAGAAACCAAAGGGAUCAAUGAAAAAUGAAUACCCUUUUGAAUCCAAAUAUUCUUGUCUUCACUCAGUAAGAAAGUCACCAACAAAGACAUGGAAUAAGAAGGCACCAAUAGCACCAAUGGCACCAACACCUAUCAAAGUAUACAAAGUGGAUCCAAUAAACUUCAAAGAACUUGUUCAGUCCCUCACUUGUGCACCUCAGUUCAUGCCUCCACAGCCUCAUCACAACCUUGACCUUCAAAGCACCACAGACCAUACCACUGCUAAGAAUAUUGUUCCUUCUCUUCCAAUGAAAAAUCUAUCAAGCAGAGACAAUGUUGAAGUGUCCUCUCCAUUAGUGCCGGUGAGCACUACUACUACCAGCUGGUAUCAAUACUUUCAAGCUGAAUAUUUUGGAAAGAAUUAUGAGGAAAAGGAGGUAAUAACACCUAGUUUGUUGGAAAUGAAUUUGUUCUCACCAACUUCUUUUGGUAACUGGUGUUUUGUUCCUCCCAUCAUGAACCCAAGAGUUUGAUCUGUUUGGAAGCUGUUCUUUAGCUAGGUUUUUAGAAUGGAUUCAUUUGAAUUGUACGGGACGUCGAUUAGAAUUUUCAGCUGCUGCGCGUAAACUGUUCUUCUAUAUACAUGUAAUUUUGAGUUCACCAAAUGCCAAAAAGACUAUACAUUCAUUAACUGAUAUUGCAGAUUGCUGUUAUCUUAAACUUAUAUCCAGCAGCUAUGAUACUUGGUUCAUUUUGACAUUGAAUAAUAUGUCUUAUCCAAUUGUACUGAAGAGAUGGUAGAUAGGAAAUUUGGUUGUUUAUGAAAAUGUGUUUAGUUGUUGUUGAUACACAUCGAUAAGUUGUGGUGUCCCGUUAAAUAAGUUGAUGAAUGUCUUGAGAAUUAUCGUAUUAAAUGUAUGUCAAGUGAAAGGAUUACCAUGUGUUGUGAAAUUGUGAAAAACCUGAGUGAUGCUCAUAAUGGUGCUCAUUAUGGAGUGACAUUUGUACCUUAUGACGUACGGUCUAAUGACCACAAGUUGUGUGCAUAUUAUUCAUGAAAUAACAUUUACUAUGUAACGCUCGUGUUAAUGUUGUAAUAUAUUGUAUUUUGGUAAUUUAGAGGUGAUAUAUAGUCUGAAAAUCCAAAAAAAGUACUCUCUCCGUUUCAUAAUACUUGUCCAUUUUAGAGAAUAAUUUUGUUUCACAAUACUUGUCACUUUCAAGUUUCAAUGCAACAUUAAUUAUUGUCUUGUCAAUAAUACCCUUGCAUAUUUAUUGUAGAGAGAAAAAAAUAAAAUGAAAUAAUAAAUGGUUAAGGGUAUUAUAGAAAACACACACAUAUUUUCAUCAAAAAUAACAAAAUUUAUUUGGUUUUUUGGUUACUGCAAUUUCUCCAAAAUGGACAUGUAUUUUGAAACGGAGGGAGUAUGAGGCUUAUAAGCCUUAAGCCACCACCAUGAAUGAAAUAAUACCUGUUAACAAUUUUGUGCACGACAAUAUUAGUCGUUUAAGCUUUGUGCACGAUUAUUAAGGAAAUGAUUAAUUGCGUUGAUUUUAAUGUUAAAAUUAGUAGCAUUUACUAAAACACCCUUAUUGAUUGUAGUUAGUGGAGCAGUUAAGUUCGACGAAAUUCAAUAAAUAAGGGUACAAUGGUGGGAAAAAAAUAAUAAAUGUUGCAUUGGUAUUGUAAAGUGAUAAUUAUUUUAAGAAAAAUAAAAAAUGCUAAAGAGACAAUAAUUAUGAGACGGAUGAAGUAUUUUAUUUUUUACAAGUAGUUCAGUGGUUAGAGCCCACACAUUUUAAAUAUGGAGAAGUUGCAUAUUUUCAUACCUCAACCCCUACAUAUAAUAUACAAUAUCCAUAUCAAAUGAGUUUAGUUCACGGACAUUGCUUAUAUUUUCUCUAGUCUACUUCUGGUUUCAUUAUGCAAUCGAAACGAGGGUCAAUAUGGUGGCUGUGGGGCAGCAUUGCUGGUCUAUCCUCAUUGCGUUGCCAUUCGUUCAUGCUCGUAGUACUAAUUAUCUCUGAAUAAGAACAAACAACACGUGGGAAGGAUAGGGACAGAGGCUGCUAUUAUCAAGUGCUCCAAUAAUCUCUCACUCAUUACUCAACUCAUCUUGAAGUUUUGAAUUUCCAUACUCUCAACCUCCAACACAAUGAUUUAACAAGGACAAAUUUGGUUCAUUAUACCCAAAAAAAAUUAAAAAAGACAAAUUUGGAAUCAAUGUUUUAUUAUUUUUAGCGAGGGACGAAACUAAUAGGGGACCAAGUUGCCUCAUUUACUUUGCUUCAUUUAUUUUUCUACAAUUUGUGAAUGAUGUUAAUUAAGAAUUAGUUGAGAUCGGUAAAUUAAAUUUACAUCGAUCGAUUAAGAGAGUGAUGCGACUUGUGUUGACUCUUGUGAUAUCAAUGACAACAAUGAUAGUAUAAUAUACUUUUCUUGGUAAUUGUGUAUUUUAUAUUUGAAAAGUUAAAAAAAUUGUUCUUUUCAAUGCAAAUUAUAUUUUUCUUUCUACUUUUAACUUCUUAACCGAUGCUCUAAAGACACAAGUUAACAAGACCCUAAAAACAAUUUAGUCAAUAAGAUGGAAGGUGAGUUUCUCAUAAACUACGUGAUUUUUUAUAUUGAAGAUGAGAUUGUUGAAAAAUUUACCUCAAAAAUAAUAAUUGAUGAUUUUAACUCUAAAACAACAAUGACCAUAACUUCAUAAGUAAAACUUAAGAUUUUUUUUUGUUCUUCUGAGUUUAGCUUAAUUAAUAAAGACAUUAUAUAAUAUAUAGAGAGAGGCUAUGGUUUAAAAUUCGAACACCACACUUAUUCAUUUUAAAAAGUAAAUUUGUAGUCAUUGUGUACCUUACCAAAAAAUAACUUAGUUCUUUUUAUAUUUGUUUGCCAAUAGUAGAAUAUAUCUUAUCAUUUUUUAUUGUUCAUUUGAAAAUUUAUUUUUUCUUUACUAAAUUUUACUUUUAAACUUGAUCCCCCUAAGCUUAACUUAUCGCUUUGUCCCCACAUUUAGAUAUUAAGAUUUCGAUCAGUUCAUCUUAUUGAAGUUUGUUUAGAAUCUUACAUUAUUCAGAUUUUCAAACUGUUAAAUAUAUAAAUGUAUUUAAGCACCUUUACUCUUUGAGUUAGCUUUUGAAAUAAGAUUUCAAGUCCAAUUAACAUGAUAUUAAAAUAAGGAUAAGGAUCCCAAUGUGAUAAUUAGGAUUAUAACUAAAUGUAUUUUGGCACCGCCAUCCUUCGAGUUAAUUUUUAUACUGAAAUCCAAAUUCAUUUAACACAUCUACUAAGUCACUGGCUAAGAAAAUUCUAUUCCCACAUUUUUUUAUAUAACCACUUUAUUCUGCCAUUACAUAUAUACCGAUCCGCAGACGGUCAAGACAAAAAGAAAGGUUCCAAUUUCUUCUAAUUCCUCAUAUUCUAUUUAGGUCGUUAGCCUUUGUUGAAAUUCAACUCCACACUCUUGAAUUAUUUAUUUCCUUCAUAUUUAUUGCUCAUACCAUACACUCAAAACCAACAAUCUAUAAAUACCUAAGUAGACAUCACAACAUAAGAGUAAGUAACUAGUUUCUUGAAUCAUAAAUAAUAUUCUAUUUUUAUUACAAAACAGAAACUUCAUGGAAUAUUCAUAUUCUUCAUCUAAAUCUUCAUACAUAUCCAAAAACACUAAGAAACCAAAUGGAUCAAUUAAACAUGAAUGCCCUUGUCAAACUCAUUAUUCUUGGCUUCACUCAGUAAGAAAAUCACCUGUAAAGACAUGGAAUAAGAAGUUACCAAUAGCACCAAUGGCACCAACACCUGCCAAAGUAUACAAAGUGGAUCCAAUAAACUUCAAAGAACUUGUUCAGUCCCUCACUUGUGCACCUCAGUUCAUACCUUCACAGCCUCAUCACAAACUUGAUCUUCAAAGCACCACAAACCAUACCAUUGCCAAUGACAGUGUUCCACCUUCCCUUCCAAUGAAAAACUUCACAAACAAAGACACUGUUGAAGUGUCCCCUCCAUUAGAGCCAG